UUAGUUCAUUAGUUUAUUUAUUUUUCUGCUAGAAACAUGGAUGAGCUGAGGUCAGAUACUGUAACUGAUUCUGAACGUGAAAAAUAGGUAUUUCAACUAUUAAGGAGAGAAACAGAAGAAAGGUCACUGCUGUAGUUUGCUUUCAACAGCGAAUUGCAGAAUGAGAUGACUAUAUAUAUACUAUUGAGUUUGAAGCUGCUGACACGACGAUAUUAUCGGUUUGCAUGAGUAUGCUACAGCUGUAAGAUUCUAAACCAAUACACAGUCCUUGAGAACUUACACAAAUCUCAAACUUUAUCCCAGAAUGAGAGCUGCACUGAAAAACAUCUUGGAAUUGUACUUUUACACAUGCUAAGGCAUGGGUUUAGCAGCUACUCACAGUAAAACCUGCACUGCAGGAAUUUCUCAUGUUCCCUCCAGAAACUGUCAGCGGUCUCCCAGCCUUAGAACAACCUCUUGCUCCUGCUGGCUGGUCAGAUCCCAUUCAGAUCCCCCACCUUUCCCUUUCUCAACACAUUACUUUUCAACAUUUGCUAGUUUGGUUGCUUUCUUGCCAACCCACAACCCUUGCCAUGAUAAUCUAUACAAACACUAACCCAAAACAGCCCCAUCUAUCUCUUUUCUCCAGCUAAACGUGCCCCCACUGCCUAUAAAACCUUAAACUAAAAUGCUGCCCAACUUUGGGGUCUGAGCACUACCAUACUCCCUGACUCAAUCUGCAGUGCUGCCAUACCUGUUUCUUUGAAAAGAGGGGGUCACGAAUUUGUCUGUACUUUUUGGCUUGGACCAGUAAGAGCACAAACCCCUCUCAAUUGCCCACUGACUGGCAAAAAAAAAAGAAAAAAAGGGGUUCUUACCUUUUUCCACAAGGCUACUGUAUGACUGAUGAGCCCCUAUGCUGUGCCCUGAUCCUGGAAAUACUGGGACUAGAAGGAACUUGCGACAAGAGAUUAUACCAAAAAGCAGCUAGCAGGCUGAAACAGCAACUCAGUAGUUUCCUUUUUUACUUUCUUCUGACAGGAAAGCAAGUUUAAAUGCUCUUGUCAAAAACAGAUGAGAGUGACUGAAUUAGUUUUACAUAAAAUUAGCUGUUACAGGAGAGAAAAAAAAACACUGCUUAAAAGAAAACAGUACUCAAAAAUCUUGGCAAAGUUCAUUACAGUGAGAUUUUAAACACAGCUGACUUGAUUCUUUUCUUAGUGAUGUAAGAAAAUUCGUAUGACUUCUGCUCAGUACUUUCAGCUGUCUGAAGACUGGUUUAUCUGCCGUUUCUUUUGACAUGCAGUAAUUAAUUCAAUAGUAAUGAGAUCCCUCCAACAUUAGAGGGGUUUUUCAUGCCAUGUAGUCCCCACAUACAUAAUAGGACUAUAUGUUGUUAUGAAUGAUGAAACUGCCAAACUGGGAUGAAAUUCUCUAACAUCAGCACCGUGUGUAUCUGUGAAGGCAGAAUGCCCAGAGAUCAUUAACAUAUCUCUCAACUGAAUUUCCAAACUUCACAUGCCUGAUGAGGUGCAUCACAGUCCAACAUGAUGUAUCUCUUAAAAUGAUAAAACUACAAACUAGUUAAUAUUUUUAUAUAAUUUUUGUAUUACUAUCUUUACUAUCAAACUAAUUUUUAUCUUUUUUUUUUACUUUUGUAUUACCACCUUUACUAUUUUUACCAAAGGGCAGCAGGAAAAGCUGUUGUACUUUAAAUAAAAGUUAGCAUGAGUGAGUUUCUACAGCAGUCUUAAUGUCCUUCUGUGUAGCAAAAAUUGAGAUGGUGAAGUGCCAACACAAGUGUAUCUAAUUACUUAAAGCUCAUUUCAAAUUCAUUAUCAAUUAAGAGGUACUAUUUUAAGGUGUCAGCACAUAAAAAAAUUCCUGAGGAAGUAAAAUCAUUUAUUCUUGUAACAGGCAAGCAAAAGAGGCUUAGUGAUCAGUAACCAAAUUUCUUCAAGAUGCUGAUCAGUCUGUUCAUUCUUUGGACAACUGCACAUCACAAGCUGUGGCAGAUGCUCUGAUCUCACCUCCAAAGGCUGCUCCAUCUUGGUAGACUUAAAGACACACCAUUCAUUUCAGAAUGACUUGCUCACUACUUUGAGCCUCUUCACAACAGAACACAGCUCUGCAAGUCAUUUGAAAGGCUGGGAUGGCGACUAUAGUAAGGCCUUUUUGCAUCCUUAAUUUGCAGUGAAGUUUCUCUCCUGUAGAUUUGAGGCUACUGAAAGGAAAACAGGUUAAAUUUUCUGCUUCAAAUUAAACAGUGACAAAAGUUUACCAGAAUAGGUCCUUCUAGGACACUAUCUAGAGCAAGAGGACUGUAUAAUGUUUUGGGUAUCUUCUGUCUUUCUAGCUGUCCUAUGGCCGUCACUAUGUAAAGCAUAAGGCAGUAUAAGGCACAUGGCUAGCUGAGUUACCUUCAGAGAAGUGAUCUGAACAGAAUCCACUUCAGCUCCCAUUAGAGCUCUGUCUGGGAAAACUGAGGGAACCCUCAUCAAGCCCAGAACACCACAGAACUAUUCAGUGAACAUAAGUCAAGCAGCCUUCAUCAAGAGGGUAAUAGGUGGAUGUUAUCCCUAGGCAGACUUUGAUGAAAAUAAACUCCUUCAGUGAGAACAAAGUGUAGAACACCAGUGACUGAGGCACAAACUUCAUUCAAAAUGCCAGACUGAAAGCCCAGUAGAAAGUUCAGCCUAGUAGAACCUUCUUGCCCAUGAGCAUUUUCUUUAGCAGUGAGGUUGAUGACAGAGAAAAUCACAAGCUGAACACGGGUAUUGAAGCAAAAUGAGUGUUCCAUGUAUCCUGUAACUACAGGUUCUUACCUUACAGCAGGCAGAGGAGUGAAGGGAACCUCAUCAAUGGACUUUAGAGUCUUGUCACCUAGACAGCCACAUUUUAUGCUCCAAAAAGAAAAAAAAAAGAAGAAAAAAGCCUGCCAUAUUACUAGAAAUCAGCAGACAGACCUGUUUCUGGACUUCAGUUCACGAUUCC
RNAcentral lists this long non-coding RNA (2973 nucleotides) under Strigops habroptila (Kakapo). RNAcentral describes it as "lncRNA (ENSSHBG00005019082.1)". Lineage: Eukaryota; Metazoa; Chordata; Aves; Psittaciformes; Psittacidae. The record is from RNAcentral.